Molecule: ribosomal RNA, 399 nt
Filed under: uncultured bacterium
Lineage: Bacteria
Description: bacterial SSU rRNA
Rfam family: Bacterial small subunit ribosomal RNA
Source: RNAcentral
UAUUGCACAAUGGGGGAAACCCUGAUCCAGCGACGCCGCGUGAGUGAAGAAGUAUUUCGGUAUGUAAAGCUCUGUCAGCAGGGAAGAAAGAAAUGACGGUACCUGACUAAGAAGCCCCGGCUAACUACGUGCCAGCAGCCGCGGUAAUACGUAGGGGGCGAGCGUUAUCCGGAUUCACGGGGUGUAAAGGGAGCGUAGACGGCCGUGCAAGCCAGGAGUGAAAGCCCGGGGCCCAACCCCGGGACUGCUCUUGGAACUGUGCGGCUAGAGUGCGGGAGGGGCAGGCGGAAUUCCUGGUGUAGCGGUGAAAUGCGUAGAUAUCAGGAGGAACACCGGCGGCGAAGGCGGCCUGCUGGACCGCGACUGACGUUGAGGCUCGAAAGCGUGGGGAGCGAACAG